AACGAACGCUGGCGGCAUGCCUAACACAUGCAAGUCGAACGAUGGUCUUCGGAUCAUAGUGGCGCACGGGUGCGUAACGCGUGGUAAUCUGCCCUUGGGUUCGGAAUAACAGUUGGAAACGACUGCUAAUACCGGAUGAUGUCGAUAAGACCAAAGAUUUAUCGCCCGAGGAUGAGCCCGCGUCGGAUUAGCUAGUUGGUGGGGUAAAGGCCUACCAAGGCGACGAUCCGUAGCUGGUCUGAGAGGAUGAUCAGCCACACUGGGACUGAGACACGGCCCAGACUCCUACGGGAGGCAGCAGUGGGGAAUAUUGGACAAUGGGCGCAAGCCUGAUCCAGCAAUGCCGCGUGAGUGAUGAAGGCCUUAGGGUUGUAAAGCUCUUUUACCCGGGAAGAUAAUGACUGUACCGGGAGAAUAAGCCCCGGCUAACUACGUG
This 436-nucleotide ribosomal RNA is filed under the name uncultured bacterium. Its description in RNAcentral is "partial 16S ribosomal RNA". It matches the Rfam family "Bacterial small subunit ribosomal RNA", at positions 29 to 507 of the family's 1533-position model. The record is from RNAcentral.